GACAGGGGGAAGUGCCCAGCCUGAGACUCCCUACUCUGGACCUGGCCUGCUCAUUGACUCGCUGGUGCUGCUGCCCCGUGUCCUGGUGCUAGAGAUGUUUAGUGGGGGUGAUGCUGCUGCCCUGGAGCGCCAGGCCACCUUUGAACGCUACCAAUGCCAUGAGGAGGGUCUGGUGCCCAGCAAGACUUCUCCCUCUGAGGCCUGUGCACCCCUCUUCAUCAGCCUGUCCACCCUCAUCUACAAUGGUGCCCUGCGUGAGUGUCUGUGAUGUGGGUUGAUGGGGCAGAGGUGGGGACCCAGCCUGACUUGGCCCAACCCUCCUCCCCACAGCAUGUCAGUGCAACCCUCAAGGUUCACUGAGUUCUGAGUGCAACCCUCAUGGUGGUCAGUGCCUGUGCAAGCCUGGAGUGGUUGGGCGCCGCUGUGACCUCUGUGCCCCUGGCUACUAUGGCUUUGGCCCCACAGGCUGUCAAGGUACUCUCCUGCCCCUUGUUCCCUCCUAUGCUUCUCUCUCCUUCCCAUUACUGUUCUCUCUCCUCCUUCUGGACCUGCUGCUGGUUUCCUCAAACUAAGUCUUGGACCCUCUACUCUCAACCUGGGUCAGUUGUAGUUCUCUUCCAUUUCCUGACCUUCCCACCUAGACUCCCACUACUCACACUCCCCUGAGACCCUCCCCCACCC
RNAcentral lists this small RNA (681 nucleotides) under Pan troglodytes (chimpanzee). RNAcentral describes it as "retained intron". The record is from RNAcentral. Lineage: Eukaryota; Metazoa; Chordata; Mammalia; Primates; Hominidae.